Molecule: long non-coding RNA, 1499 nt
Filed under: Parus major (Great Tit)
Lineage: Eukaryota; Metazoa; Chordata; Aves; Passeriformes; Paridae
Description: lncRNA (ENSPMJG00000011342.1)
Source: RNAcentral
GUGCCCAGACAAUCAGUGGGUGAUGGCCUUACAGCAGAGGCCAUGGCUGCUUGGCACACCAAAGCAAGGAGUUUUCCGUAUUUGGGAGACAAUUUCCAUUGCAACCAAGCAGUGUGACUGCAGCACAUGGAGCUUGGUGAUGGGGAAGCUGUGAGGAUGUAGCAGCACUGCCUUUUGCAAGAAUGCCCCUGAGGUCUCCAACAGCUUUUUGAGAAGCACACAGGUCCCACAUCUUCCUUGUUUAAGGGGCAUCUGCUCACAUUAGGUCUCUGCCCUAGUUUGAAAUACCAGUUUUGCUCUGCCCAUAAAAUAGUGCCUUGUGAGCACCGCUCCAACAAUGACUCCAUGGAGGACAUAUGUACACCUCUGCUCUAUAAAAGACUCUUCCUGAACAGAAAGGCUUUGCAGAUGCAGCCAGAAGCUGGAAGAAAGGAAAUCUCUUCAGGUGAUAGAGCUCAGCGUUUUGUGAGUCUCAGAACUAUGGGUGACCAUCCAUGCUCAGAAGGGUCAUCUGAACCAGCAGAACUCCGAUGGACUCCACCAGGCUCAGCCAAGGGUCUCCUUCCAAGCCCAAGGAGCAGCAGCUGCCACCUUGUAUGGAUGCCCUAAGACUGACUUUCCUUCUGCAGAGCCAAACCUUCUCCUGAGCACUUGGGAAAGCUGGGUCAUGAUUCCUCUCAUUGAGGCACAAUCUUAUUUUUGGAGGCUGAGGUGGAACCAGAGGCACUGGGGAGGAGUAAAGAAAAGGGAAAAUCCACAGCUCCUUCCUAGCAGCUGGAUGCCUUUGAUGUAUGCUCACCCUCCUGAAGGGUGUUCCUCUGGCUGGAAGCACAGGCACUGCCCCAACAGGCUGCCUGCAACUUAUCCCCCAGGAAGGGGCAAGUGUGUGGAGACCAGAGAAGAGACUGAAGGAUGCAGAGAGCACAGAGGCCACACAGGUGUGAUCAGGAUCGUGUACCUGCUGUCACUUUGGAUAAGGACUAUCUAUUUCAAGUGGUUUCCUGCAAAGUCAACAGGGCUGAGUUUCUCUGAGAGGUCAUAAGAAUUAUCUGGAACUCCCAAGUGUGUCUAUUCAGACCUGCAUCCUCUAUCACAGCUUGGCCAGCUUUGUUACUUCAAGAUCCCAUCAGGUACAUAGCCCUAAAGCAGCCACCAGAAGCCCAAAGAACAUAAGCACAUAUUUAACUUUGAGCUAAAGGAUUCCUUUAGACGUCAGUUUUAUUACCCUUGUGCUUAAAGCUAGACACGUGUCUUUUGUGGAUCCUAACAGCAUCAAUAAUUUACAUUGUGGAAGCAGCUAGAGGCCCCAUUUAUAUUGAGAUUGUUGUACAAACAAAAUAAUUGACAGUCUCUGCCCUAAAAAUCUUCCAGACUGGAAAGUGAAUCUGCAAUUCCCUUUGUAGCUUGCUCUUCCCAGAUUAAUUUUCACUCAUAUUUAAUCCAACUUAAACACUUCCAUGCAGCAAUAUCAGCAUGUUAUUUUUAAAUUCAGCUUUUAC